Molecule: ribosomal RNA, 478 nt
Filed under: uncultured bacterium
Lineage: Bacteria
Description: partial 16S ribosomal RNA
Rfam family: Bacterial small subunit ribosomal RNA
Source: RNAcentral
GACGAACGCUGGCGGCGUGCUUAACACAUGCAAGUCGAACGGUAAGGCCCUUCGGGGUACACGAGUGGCGAACGGGUGAGUAACACGUGGGUGAUCUGCCCUGCACUUCGGGAUAAGCCUGGGAAACUGGGUCUAAUACCGGAUAGGACUCCUGGCUUCAUGGUUGGGGGUGGAAAGCCUUUGCGGUGUGGGAUGGGCCCGCGGCCUAUCAGCUUGUUGGUGGGGUAAUGGCCUACCAAGGCGACGACGGGUAGCCGGCCUGAGAGGGUGACCGGUCACACUGGGACUGAGAUACGGCCCAGACUCCUGCGGGAGGCAGCAGUGGGGAAUAUUGCACAAUGGGCGCAAGCCUGAUGCAGCGACGCCGCGUGAGGAAUGACGGCCUUCGGGUUGUAAACCUCUUUCAGCUAUGACGAAGCGCAAGUGACGGUAGUAGCAGAAGAAGGACCGGCCAACUACGUGCCAGCCGCCGCGGUAA